UCCCAACUCGCAGGAGAGCCCAGG
RNAcentral lists this non-coding RNA (24 nucleotides) under Rattus norvegicus (Norway rat). The record is from RNAcentral. Lineage: Eukaryota; Metazoa; Chordata; Mammalia; Rodentia; Muridae.